AAAAGUUGGUAAGUUAUGUAAGGAAUUUCUAAAUUAAGUUUUAUACUACAUGUUAUAUGUGAUAUUAAACCACUGUAUGGUGCAUAUUACUGUAUGUAACUUACUAUGCAUAGAGUACUUACUGACAAAAUUAUUUUUUGUACAUUCCAGAACCCCCUGAAUGAUGUAGGCUAUGGGGCCACAUAAGACUUUGUCCAUCCAGGGUUACAUUGAACAAGAAAUUUAAACUAAAAAACCAACAUUUUUCACACAACUCCAGGUUGUUACUACAAGUGUCAUCAAGGGAUAACUACAAGUAGAAGCACCAUUUUUGGAUGGAAAAAAUCCUUCAGGAAAGUAUACGUAUCACAUGUAACAUGUAGUGUAACAAAGUAUGAACAGUAAGGUUUUUACAUACAGUAGUACAUACAUACGUAUUACAUACGUACAUAACUUUUUUUUACAGGAAUUUCCAACCAAGUUUGAUUAUGUACAUAUGUACAUGUUAUAAACCACUGUACGUAUGGUUACUGUAUGUAACUUACUAAACAUACAUAACAUGACUUAACUUUGAUACUUUUUUGGUACAUUCCAGAAAACCAGGACCCCCUCCAUGAUGCAGGCUAUGGGGCCACAUAAAACUUUGUCCAGGGUUACUACAUAACAUAGCACGACAACUGUAAACUAUGUACUACUGUACUAAAGAACCCCCUGAAUGAUGUAGGCUAUGGGGCCACAUAAGACUUUGUCCAUCCAGGGUUAUAGUGAACGACAAUUUUAAACUAAAGAACCCCCUGAAUGAUGUAGGCUAUGGGGCCACAUAAGACUUUGUCCAUCCAGGGUUAUAGUGAACGACAAUUUUAAACUAAAGAACCCCCUGAAUGAUGUAGGCUAUGGGGCCACAUAAGACUUUGUGCAUCCAGGGUUACGUUGAACGUCAAAUUUAAACUAAAAAGCUACCAGACUGGGAUUUUAGUGUACUCCAGGAUCUAACAAAUACUACUACGAAGUGUACAGUGCAUAAUAUAGUGUUUAGUGUAUAAUCUAACCUAAGGAUUAAGUGUAGUACAUUGUGCUUUAUAGUGUCACAAGAGUUUAAUAAAGAAUUAUACCUUCAAGAACCAUCCUUUGCCAUUGAAAUAACCACACUACACAUCAUGCAAUAUACUUGCAUGUCACACAGGUAAGGUCUCUAACUUUUUCUUAGUUUAAGGCAUAUUUCCAAGUGUCGUUCCGG
Macrobrachium nipponense is the source of this 1216-nucleotide long non-coding RNA. RefSeq lists it as uncharacterized. The transcript has 6 exons. The record is from RefSeq and is a predicted model, not a curated record. NCBI's taxonomy places the organism in Eukaryota, Metazoa, Arthropoda, Malacostraca, Decapoda, Palaemonidae.